ACUGGGUGUAGUGGUCUGCUUGUAGUUCCAGCUACUUGGGAGGCUGAGGGAGGAGGAUCGCCUGAGUCCAGGAAUUCUGGGUUGUAGUGUGCUAUGCCUAUCAGUUGUCUGCACUAAGUUUGUCAUCAAUUUCAUGUCCUCCUGAGAAUAGGAGACCAACAGGUUUCCUAAGGAGAGGUGAACCAGCCUAAGUUGGAAACAGAGCAAGUCAAAACUGCCGUACUGGUCAGUAGUGGGAUCUCACCUGUAAAUAGCUACUGCAUUCCAGCCUAGGCAACAUAGUGAGAUCCUGUCUCU
This 297-nucleotide signal recognition particle RNA is filed under the name Piliocolobus tephrosceles (Ugandan red Colobus). RNAcentral's name for it is "Metazoan signal recognition particle RNA (ENSPTEG00000013546.1)". It matches the Rfam family "Metazoan signal recognition particle RNA". From Rfam's summary of the family: The signal recognition particle (SRP) is a universally conserved ribonucleoprotein. It is involved in the co-translational targeting of proteins to membranes. The eukaryotic SRP consists of a 300-nucleotide 7S RNA and six proteins: SRPs 72, 68, 54, 19, 14, and 9. The record is from RNAcentral. Lineage: Eukaryota; Metazoa; Chordata; Mammalia; Primates; Cercopithecidae.